AAUAUGUAUAUUGUAUUCAUGUAUGUAUAUGUAUCUCAUUCGUAUCUAUUGUACAAUAAUUCAUUUAUAAUGGAGUUUCACUUACCAGUUAGGAAAGUCUGUUUCAACCAAAUUUCGUGCAAAGUUUGGUAUUGUAUCUUGCGUGCAAAUGCAAAUUGAUGUCAAUUUGGUGCCAGUCUCUACUUAAAGCAGUGUACGGUUCUUAUUUGGUAUGAAUUUGGUAUCGUCUAAUUUUAAACUCGGGUAUUAUUAUCGAAAUAUGUAUUGCAAAAAGCUUAAAACGUUAGAAUUCGAAUAAGAUUAUACAAAAAUUUAUUUCGAAUGUAAAAAUAUCGAUAACAAAGAUGAAAAAGAAGACAAAAAUUUGUACAAUAUUCGGGGAGUCGAAACAGAGUCCGCAAGAGUAUGAGUCCAACACUCUACCACUUCAUCUACAUUUUCUUGUUGGCACCGUUUACAUAACUGUAAUAGUACGCGCGCGAACAGGUAAAAAAAAAAGAAAUCUUAAAUAUCUUCAAAACAGAGGCCCAGUUUGAUAAACCCCACAUAUUCCAUCUACUGUGAUUUCAAAAUGCAUGACCUAACCCUUGCCUUUUUUAGCUAUCGUUACCAGAUUUCGCCUAGGUUUAGUAUGCAUUUGGCAACAUCAAACUUUGGUGCCAAAUUUAUAUCAAAUACGAACCGAACCGCGCUUUCAGCAGAGUCUUAGUAUCAAAUUGGCAUCAAUUUGUUCGCAAACAUUACACAAUAUGUAUUUUGUCGAAGCUGCCUUGGCUAACUGGGUAGUAACGAUAUGGUUUCUUUAUGGAAAGAAUUGAACAGUUUUAGAGCAAGGAAAAGGAGAGGACUGAACAUAAAGGAAAAUCAGUGGGUGCAGCACGUCACGGAGUUGCUCAUAGGAAGGAAAAGGAAAAGACAGGAGCGAGAUCUAACGAGGAAGUAGAGGAAGGGAGAGUAAUCUCGCUAAGAAAAGAUGAAACGAGGACUUCAGAAUGAGAAGAGGAGUUUAGUAUGGAGGAGAUGAGACUAGAGAAGAAAUAAAAUGCAGACGGACUAAUUACUGAAUUUUUCUGGGACAGGGGAAAAACGAGAAAGUAAAAAACUACCGCGAAGUAAAAACUACAAGACAAACUAAAAUUCAGCAAAUGGCUGGAAAGAAAGAAAAUGCUUGGAAGAAAUUAACAAAAAGAGGUACAAGAAGAUUAUACAUUUAUUUUAAACGCAACAGAAUAUUCAGGAAAAGUGGGUGAAAAUAAAGAUUUCUACGUAUUGUUCAUAAUAUAAGGAGAGGAAGCAGGAAGCAUACUGGAGAGAUAAAAAGAUUAAAGAGAAUGUAUGGAAAAAUCAACGAAAAAAUGUUGGAAUGGUUAAAGAAAAUGGAAAGAGGCAACAGGCUAGGAGAAAAGGUGGAGGAAAUAUUAACACUUUCACAACCGCAUAUUAUUAAGAAAAGUUUUGCAAGUGGCUUGCCACUGGUACCACGUGGGAGUCACCGGCAAAUAGCGACUGGCCUAUCAAUGGUACCACGUGAGUGUCACCGGCAAAUAACGACUGGUCUACCAAUGACCCCACAUGAGUGUCACCGGCAUACAACGACUGGCCUGCCCAUGACACCACAGUGGUGUCAGCGGUUGUGAAAGUGUUAAGGGAAAGCUCAAUUCCAAAACAUGUGAAUAUUCUGUGAGGUACGAGAAAAAAAUAGGAAAGUCGAGAAUACGAAAAGAUGGACACUAGGAGUGGAUGAAUGGCAAAAAGCAAUGGAGUAAAUGAAAGAGCAACAAGAGAAAUUUACAGGAAUAUAAUGUACACAUAUCCAAAAACAUAUCAAAACUUAUUCCAAUUACUUUGUACACUAUACAUUUAGGUACAAACUACUGUACAUAGAGUACUAUAAAUGAGAAAACUUUCUAUUGUUUUCAAUAACUGUCUUACAGAAUAUAAAAUUAUUAUCUGAUACAAAA
Non-coding RNA from Megalopta genalis, 1961 nucleotides. The record is from RefSeq and is a predicted model, not a curated record. NCBI's taxonomy places the organism in Eukaryota, Metazoa, Arthropoda, Insecta, Hymenoptera, Halictidae.